UACGUAGGGUGCGAGCGUUGUCCGGAAUUAUUGGGCGUAAAGAGCGUGUAGGCGGCCAUACAGGUCAGCUGUGAAAACUCGAGGCUCAACCUCGAGACGUCGGUUGAAACCGUUUGGCUAGAGUCCGGAAGAGGAGAGUGGAAUUCCCGGUGUAGCGGUGAAAUGCGCAGAUAUCGGGAAAGAACACCCCGUGGCGAAGGCGGCUCUCUGGGAC
RNAcentral lists this ribosomal RNA (214 nucleotides) under uncultured bacterium. Its description in RNAcentral is "partial 16S ribosomal RNA". It matches the Rfam family "Bacterial small subunit ribosomal RNA", at positions 524 to 735 of the family's 1533-position model. The record is from RNAcentral.